AGAAUGAACGCUGGCGGCGUGCUUUACACAUGCAAGUCGAGCGAGGCGUGUAGCAAUACACAGCCCUAGCGGCGAACGGGUGAGUAACGCGUGGAUGACCUGCCCUUCAGCGGGGAAUAACCCGGGGAAACUCGGGCUAAUACCGCAUACGACCGAGAGGUGAAAGGGGGCCGCAAGGCUCUCACUGAAGGAGGGGUCCGCGUUCGAUUAGCUAGUUGGUAGGGUAAUGGCCUACCAAGGCGACGAUCGAUAGCCGGCCUGAGAGGGUGAUCGGCCACACUGGAACUGAGACACGGUCCAGACUCCUACGGGAGGCAGCAGUGGGGAAUUUUGCGCAAUGGGGCUAAACGCCUGACGCAGCAAACGCCGCGUGGAGGAUGAAGGUCUUUGGAUUGUAAAACUCCUGUCAGCAGGGAAAAAAGGAUAAAGACCUACAUAACGUCUUAAACUUGAUUGUACCUGCAGAGGAAGCCCCGGCUAACUCUGUGCCAGCAGCCGCGGUAA
RNAcentral lists this ribosomal RNA (504 nucleotides) under uncultured soil bacterium. RNAcentral's name for it is "bacterial SSU rRNA". It matches the Rfam family "Bacterial small subunit ribosomal RNA", at positions 26 to 523 of the family's 1533-position model. The record is from RNAcentral.